GGCUCGGUGGCGGAGUGGUCCGCGUCUGCUUCACGUGUCUGAAUAUUUGCCGCUCUGGAUGCAGAGGACGCUCGUUCGAUUCGGGCUCGAGCCG
Mycena sp. CBHHK59/15 is the source of this 94-nucleotide non-coding RNA. The record is from the annotation of a GenBank genome assembly. Lineage: Eukaryota; Fungi; Basidiomycota; Agaricomycetes; Agaricales; Mycenaceae.